This 496-nucleotide ribosomal RNA is filed under the name uncultured bacterium. Its description in RNAcentral is "partial 16S ribosomal RNA". It matches the Rfam family "Bacterial small subunit ribosomal RNA", at positions 28 to 507 of the family's 1533-position model. The record is from RNAcentral.
GAUGAACGCUGGCGGCGUGCCUAAUACAUGCAAGUCGAGCGAACGGACGAGAAGCUUGCUUUUCUGAUGUUAGCGGCGGACGGGUGAGUAACACGUGGAUAACCUACCUAUAAGACUGGGAUAACUUCGGGAAACCGGAGCUAAUACCGGAUAAUAUUUUGAACCGCAUGGUUCAAAAGUGAAAGACGGUCUUGCUGUCACUUAUAGAUGGAUCCGCGCUGCAUUAGCUAGUUGGUAAGGUAACGGCUUACCAAGGCAACGAUGCAUAGCCGACCUGAGAGGGUGUUCGGCCAAACUGAACCUGAGACACGGUCCAGACUCCUACGGGAGGCAGCGGUAGGAAUCUUCCGCAAUGGGCGAAAGCCUGACGGAGCAACGCCGCGUGAGUGAUGAAGGUCUUCGGAUCGUAAAACUCUGUUAUUAGGGAAGAACAUAUGUGUAAGUAACUGUGCACAUCUUGACGGUACCUAAUCAGAAAGCCACGGCUAACUACGUG